Long non-coding RNA from Lycium barbarum (goji berry), 967 nucleotides. RefSeq lists it as uncharacterized. NCBI's taxonomy places the organism in Eukaryota, Viridiplantae, Streptophyta, Magnoliopsida, Solanales, Solanaceae. The transcript is spliced from 2 exons. The record is from RefSeq and is a predicted model, not a curated record.
UAUUUCAUGCCAAACACACCACUAUACUCUUUUCCCUCCCUUUCCCUUUACCCCCCUAACCCUAGGCGCCGCCCUUUGAUCUCUCUCUCUAUAUCUCAUCGCCAAAAAUGGAAAAAAUUCAGAGGACUCAGACCUCCACCAGAUUUUAUACGUCCGUUUACAUGCAACAAUUAAUGUGUUCGUCUUUUUACAACCAUCUCACCCCAAACACGGUAAUACUCCCCUUUAUUUUACUUUUUCUUUUAAUAUUUGAGUCAAAGGCUUGAUUUUAUGUAUUAUGUGUGAAAUACUCGAUUUCUAUUGGCCUAAGUGGUCAUGGACUAGAUCGACCAAAUUUGGUCCAGAUCUGGCCGGAUAUUUUGUUCCCCAUUAAUUCUUGGCCAUAGAUUCGUGCAUUGAAUGUAAGAAUGAAAAAAGAUCCACUUUAUACCACAUUGUUGGUUUAGUUUUUUUUUUUUUUUUUUUUGAAAAUUUUGGGGUUCUAUUUAUAGAACCCCAACCCUCAUCAUUUAAAAAAAAAAGGUGGAGAGUCAAUAAAGGCUUGAAUUUUGAGUCGUUUAGUAAAAAAUUUAGACUUAAACAUUUUAAGGUUGAAUCUUUUAGUUCUAAAUUUAUUUUUUUGUGUGUUGGUGUGGCUGAGUUUGGGGUUUAGAAGCACCAAGGCUUCAAAUUCACUCUUGUUCACGGCUGCACCUAAAAAAGCCAACCUGUUGGGGCCCAACAGGAAAUUCUUUCAUAUUAUCGAGUCCGGCGAAGCCGAAAUGGAAGCCAAUAUAUAUUAAAUUCAUAGAAGGCCUAACCACGGGUGAAAAUGACCAAUUAGGGGCUUGGUACGCCCCUAGCCUACCCUUCUUCUUUUUAUUUAUUUAUUUAAGCUGUUUUUCCUUUUAUUUGUGAGGUGUUGUAUUGGUAUUUGAAAUUCCUUGAAAAAACUCAUAUAAAUAUAUUUGAAUCUUUAUUGUUUGAA